This 468-nucleotide ribosomal RNA is filed under the name uncultured bacterium. Its description in RNAcentral is "partial 16S ribosomal RNA". It matches the Rfam family "Bacterial small subunit ribosomal RNA", at positions 28 to 507 of the family's 1533-position model. The record is from RNAcentral.
GACGAACGCUGGCGGCGGGCUUAACACAUGCAAGUCGAACGGAAAGGCCCUGCUUGCGUGGGGUGUUAGAGUGGCGAACGGGUGAGAAACAUGGGAGUCACCUGCGUUGUGCUGGGGGAUAACUUGAGGAAACCGGGGCUAAUACCUGAUAGGAGCGCCUGCUGGAGGGGGGGGGUUGGAAAGUUUCGGCGGUUGGGGAUGGAGGUGCGGGUUAUCAGCUUGUUGGUGGGGUAGUGGCUUACCAAGGCUUUGGCGGGUGGCGGGCCUGAGAGGGUGACCGGCGACAUUGCGCCUGAGAUACGGCGCAGACUCCGACGGGAGGCAGGAGUGGGGAAUAUUAGCCAAUGGGCGCGAGCCUGAUGCAGCGACGCCGCGUGUGGGAUGACGGCCUUCUGGUGGUAAACCGCAUUCGCCUGGGACGAAGCGUGAGUGACGGUAGUGGGUAAAGAAGCACCGGCUAACUACGUG